This 253-nucleotide ribosomal RNA is filed under the name uncultured bacterium. Its description in RNAcentral is "partial 16S ribosomal RNA". It matches the Rfam family "Bacterial small subunit ribosomal RNA", at positions 524 to 776 of the family's 1533-position model. The record is from RNAcentral.
UACGGAGGGUGCAAGCGUUAUUCGGAAUUACUGGGCGUAAAGCGUGCGCAGGCGGUUUGUUAAGUCUGCUGUGAAAUCCCCGAGCUCAACUUGGGAAUUGCAGUGGAUACUGGCAGGCUGGAGUAUGGUAGAGGAAGGUGGAAUUCCCGGUGUAGCAGUGAAAUGCGUAGAGAUCGGGAGGAACACCAGUGGCGAAGGCGGCCUUCUGGACCAAUACUGACGCUCAUGCACGAAAGCGUGGGGAGCAAACAGG